UUCCGCAAUGGACGCAAGUCUGACGGAGCGACGCCGCGUGUAGGAAGAAGUCCCUCGGGAUGUAAACUACUGUCAGGGGCGAGGAACACAAUGACCAGCCCCAGAGGAAGCCACGGCUAACUCCGUGCCAGCAGCCGCGGUAAUACGGAGGUGGCAAGCGUUGUUCGGAAUCACUGGGCUUAAAGGGCGUGUAGGCGGAGCGCAAGGUGUCGGGUGAAAUCCCCGGGCUCAACCCGGGAACUGCCCGGCAUACCGGCGCUCUCGAGGCAGGUAGAGGCGACUGGAACGACGGGUGGAGCGGUGAAAUGCGUAGAUAUCCGUUGGAACGCCGGUGGCGAAAGCGGGUCGCUGGGCCUGUCCUGACGCCGAGACGCGAAAGCGUGGGUAGUAAACAGGAUUAGAUACCCUGGUAGUCCACGCCGUAAACGAUGCGCACUGGGUAUGAGGAGCUCUCACGCUCCUUGUGCCGAAGUAAAAACGGUUAGUGCGCCGCCUGGGGAGUACGGCCGCAAGGCUA
RNAcentral lists this ribosomal RNA (517 nucleotides) under uncultured bacterium. Its description in RNAcentral is "bacterial SSU rRNA". It matches the Rfam family "Bacterial small subunit ribosomal RNA", at positions 364 to 896 of the family's 1533-position model. The record is from RNAcentral.